Bolinopsis microptera is the source of this 486-nucleotide long non-coding RNA. RefSeq lists it as uncharacterized. The transcript is spliced from 4 exons. NCBI's taxonomy places the organism in Eukaryota, Metazoa, Ctenophora, Tentaculata, Lobata, Bolinopsidae. The record is from RefSeq and is a predicted model, not a curated record.
CUCGCUCCAAACUCCAAAGUACUCCAAAGAUGAAGCUGUUCAUUGCUAUCACCCUUUUCGCCAUGGUCAUGUUCGUUAACUGCCAAGAAGCUGAAACCGAAGCAGAAGCUGAACCCGAAGCAGAAGCUGAACCCGAAGUAGAAGCUGAAGUCGAAGUAGAAGCAGAAGCAGAUGACGCUGAUGCCGGCGCCUCCUCAAUCCAGCUGGCUCUCCUUGCUCUGGUACCAGUAGUUGCCCGACUUGUCUAGGAACGUCAGGCAGCGGUCCCCCGCUGCAAUUCGCAGAGAUUGAGCAACUACUUCCUUAUACGGACGAAGCGGAGGAUUUCAUGCUAAUCAGACACGAAUUCAAAAACUUUCGGUCACUUAAAUUAUACGUUCGGGUAAAUUUAGGUGAUUUCAGUGUUCAAAUUUAAACCAUGGCCGUGGUGAUUUUGUCAUUUUGCUUUCUUUUUACUAUUUGACUUUUAUGAUUAUCUUUUCUUAA